Scophthalmus maximus (turbot) is the source of this 1252-nucleotide long non-coding RNA. RefSeq lists it as uncharacterized. The record is from RefSeq and is a predicted model, not a curated record. Lineage: Eukaryota; Metazoa; Chordata; Actinopteri; Pleuronectiformes; Scophthalmidae. The transcript has 4 exons.
CACACUGUGGGGAAUCUUUUUCACCGUAAAAGCGCCAGCCUGGAAGCAAACAGUGCUGGAACAGGCCAUUAAACAUGUGACGAGUGGCCUCUGUGCUAGCUAGCGCAAGCGGAUUUGGGGAUCAGAACACGAGCUAUCAGGACAAAACAUCAAAGACUUCUGCAGAGAUCCGCCAUAGGAUGGGCCCCAUGGCAGCUCUCCACCACUGCAAUCCAUUUCAGAGGGUAUAGGAAUCAAGCCCAUGCACCGAAUUAGUUGUGAAUCUGUGUGAGAGAGCAGUGUACACAUGUUAGACACGACCCCUGCAGGUUUCUCUGGAUGACAACAUAGGCGUGUGCAGUGAAUACUUUCUCUGAUGGAGUCGGGUGAGCCAUGAGGUGGAGAGCUGCAGAGAAAAGUCGAGUAAGAACCUCGAUUUGUUAACGCAACAAUGAACCUUCAACCUCAAAUGUAAUGUCUUUUAUAUCCCUUUUGUUACAUUUCUAUGACGACAGUAUAUUAAAACAAUGUGGAUUUGUCACUUGUAGAGUUCAGUAUCUGCCCCACAAUAUGGGAAUGUUACAUCCAAAUAAAGUUGUUUAAUCCUUCACCACACAAAAUGUGUAUGUGUGGCUUGUAGUCAUAAGAUUUUCAUUCAUAGUGCAGAAAAAAACAUACAAAGAAAUUGUGUUGGCUGAGUAAUUCCCAAUAAAGACCAUUAUAUUUCUACUUGAUCUGGCAGAGCUUUCUCAAAACCCCCAACUUCUGCAAAGCCCCAUGUGGCCUAUUAGAAAAACAUCUCAAAUAGUUUAAGGUGCUUUAUUCGCCCCCCUCACAACUGAGACAGCGGGUGUACAGCCUCUGAUUCAUGAAAAACAGCAAGAGGUAGCUCAGGAAAGGAAUUAUUAGGGGGGGGGGGGACAAAAACUCUUUUUUUUCUUUUAAACCAAAGGUUACAGGAGGCAACAGCACAACUGAAACUGGAGCGAAGAGGGUGAACAAAAUCCUUAACAACAAAAAUAUUCAACAGAAAUACUCUAAUUGAGCCUAGAUAACCUAGAUUCUUAAACACUGUGGUGACCUGGAGUGGUCUGCUGGAGCAGCAGCAUCUCAACAGCUAACAGGAAGAGACUCGACAGACUGAUAUGGAAGGCCAGCUCUGUCCUGGGUUUGCCCCUUGGACACAGUGCAGGUGGUGGGAGAGAGGAGGAUGGUAGCAAAGCUAUCAUCAGUGGUGGACAAUGACUCCCACCCCAUGGAAGGAGCAGUAUUG